AUACGGAGGGUGCAAGCGUUAUUCGGAAUCACUGGGUUUAAAGGGUGCGUAGGCGGCCAUAUUAGUCAGUAGUGAAAGGUUGCAGCUUAACUGUAAGACUGCUAUUGAAACUGUAUGGCUUGAAUUAGGAUGAGGUAGGCGGAAUGUGACAUGUAGCGGUGAAAUGCUUAGAUAUGUCAUAGAACACCGAUUGCGUAGGCAGCUUACUAGACCUAUCUUGACGCUGAGGCACGAAAGCGUGGGGAGCGAACAGGAUUAGAAACCCCUGUAGUCC
This 274-nucleotide ribosomal RNA is filed under the name uncultured bacterium. RNAcentral's name for it is "partial 16S ribosomal RNA". It matches the Rfam family "Bacterial small subunit ribosomal RNA", at positions 523 to 796 of the family's 1533-position model. The record is from RNAcentral.